Molecule: long non-coding RNA, 1141 nt
Organism: Beta vulgaris subsp. vulgaris (sugar beet)
Lineage: Eukaryota; Viridiplantae; Streptophyta; Magnoliopsida; Caryophyllales; Amaranthaceae
Exons: 2
Source: RefSeq, a predicted model, not a curated record
GUUGGUGCAAAUUCAGUUUGAUAACUUUGUGUGAUACCCCGAAUUUUCAGAAGUUAUUUUAUUAUUUAUUAAGGUUUAAGAUUAUUUUCACUCAAAAUUUAUUUUAUGAUAAUGCGAUUUUAUUUGAUAACUAUGUUUAUAAAUAAUGAUUCGAUUUAGUUUUGAUUUAUUUAACAAAGUUUAAAAUAAAUCAUUUACUUGUUUUAUUAUGCAUUUCAUUAUUUCUAAAUUAAUUAAACUUUUUACAUUUGUUAUGGGUAUCCUUAUACUAAUUGUCCAUUCAUGAUGUCCAUCCAUUUUAGCAAUUGAACGCCCAAAUACCAAGUCCAAACCAAUAUGUCUUUUAGCAAAAAAAAAAGAAAAGGAAAAAAAGAAAAGAAAAGGAAAACUGAAUUCUCAGAUUUUCAUCUCCCUCCUUCUCCUUCGUCUGGUUCAAAGCUCAAGAACCAAGAAAAAUGCAACACCUUCAUCUCCCUUCUUCUUGGUCCAAUUCACACACACAAAUCAAUAUUUUUGCAACACAGAAAUCUCACCUUUGUCAGCAAUAAUCAAAUUGGGGGCAAUUGUUUUUUUUUCAAAAGCAAAGCUCACUCAUCCACCAUUGGAUUUCUGACCGAAAUCUCCCUUAUAAAUACUGAUUCACUCUCAGCAAAUUUCUCAAGCAAAACAACUCAAAAGGUGGGUGAUCGAUCGGGGGAACAAAAGGGUGAUCAUUUAGAGUUGUCAUCCACUUAGCAUAUGAUUAGCUUCCGCUGGAACUCUGAAACACUUAUUUAAUUCAUUUGCUUGUAAGGAUUAAUUAAUAUGAGUUCAGUUUGAUUUUAACUUAGCCUUGCAUUUAUUUCCAAGGGGAUAAGUGCGGCGGUAGCGCCACCCAUCGGGUCGAACCCCGUUGGAUUUUAUAUCCCCCCCCCCCAAAUCUCGAGUUUUACCAAAUGAAGAAGGGUUCGGGUUGGCGGGGGUGUUACACUUUGCAAACAAGUCAAUGCACACCUAAUAGUUAGAUACUGAACGUCACAGGAGUCUUAGUCCCUGGGGGUUACCGGUUUUAAUUUGAUAAAAUCUUGCUAAUGUACUUUUUUAUAGCCUAAUGUAAUUAAACCAUAACGUCCAAUAAAUUCAGGCGACGUGUAUUAAAUAA